RNAcentral lists this ribosomal RNA (452 nucleotides) under uncultured bacterium. Its description in RNAcentral is "bacterial SSU rRNA". It matches the Rfam family "Bacterial small subunit ribosomal RNA", at positions 27 to 507 of the family's 1533-position model. The record is from RNAcentral.
GGACGAACGCUGGCGGCGUGCUUCAUACAUGCAAGUCGAACGAGGUAGCAAUACCUAGUGGCGGACGGGUGAGUAACGCGUGAGCAACCUGCCCUUGUGUGGGGGAUACCGUCUGGAAACGGACGUUAAUACCGCAUAACAUAGCGGAAUCGCAUGGUUCUGCUAUCAAAGAUUUAUUGCGCAAGGAUGGGCUCGCGUUGGAUUAGAUAGUUGGUGAGGUAACGGCCCACCAAGUCUGCGAUCCAUAGCCGGACUGAGAGGUUGAACGGCCACAUUGGAACUGAGAUACGGUCCAGACUCCUACGGGAGGCAGCAGUGGGGAAUAUUGGGCAAUGGGCGAAAGCCUGACCCAGCGACGCCGCGUGAAGGAAGAAGGUCUUCGGAUUGUAAACUUCUUUUAUCAGGGACGAAUACUGACGGUACCUGAUGAAUAAGCCACGGCUAACUACGUG